Molecule: ribosomal RNA, 184 nt
Filed under: uncultured bacterium
Lineage: Bacteria
Description: partial 16S ribosomal RNA
Rfam family: Bacterial small subunit ribosomal RNA
Source: RNAcentral
CCUACGGGAGGCAGCAGUGGGGAAUUUUGCGCAAUGGGCGAAAGCCUGACGCAGCGACGCCGCGUGGGGGAAGAAGGCCUUCGGGUUGUAAACUCCUUUAGUACGGGAAGAAGUCCCGAGCAAUCGGGAUGACGGUACCGUAAGAAUAAGCCACGGCUAACUCUGUGCCAGCAGCCGCGGUAAU